CCCUGCCAUUUGUACACACCGCCCGUCGCACCUACCGAUUGGAUGGUCCGGUGAAGCCCUCGGAUCGCGCCCUGAUCUUCGGUGACGGGACGAGAAGUCGGCUGAACCUUACCAUCUAGAGGAAGGUGAAGUCGUAACAAGGUUUCCGUA
RNAcentral lists this ribosomal RNA (150 nucleotides) under uncultured eukaryote. RNAcentral describes it as "partial small subunit ribosomal RNA". It matches the Rfam family "Eukaryotic small subunit ribosomal RNA", at positions 1651 to 1807 of the family's 1831-position model. The record is from RNAcentral.